This is a long non-coding RNA of Maniola jurtina (meadow brown), 176 nucleotides long. RefSeq lists it as uncharacterized. Lineage: Eukaryota; Metazoa; Arthropoda; Insecta; Lepidoptera; Nymphalidae. The record is from RefSeq and is a predicted model, not a curated record. The transcript has 3 exons.
UAUUCUCCUUUAAAAAUGAAUUCUAGCUCCAUAAACUACCGCUAUACAAAACAUCACAUCAUUUUAUUACUACAGUCCAAAUGAAAUGAAGCUGUGUUAAUCAUUCUGUCUCACUCACACACUAUACACAGGUGUACUGAGCAAGCGAGAUCGAAUGUUUUUUUUUCAAAGAUUAU